ACGAAGGGUGCAAGCGUUAAUCGGAAUUACUGGGCGUAAAGGGUGCGUAGGCGGUUCGUUAAGUCAGAGGUGAAAUCCCGGGGCUCAACCCCGGAACUGCCUUUGAAACUGGAGAGCUAGAAUCUUGGAGAGGCGAGUGGAAUUCCGAGUGUAGAGGUGAAAUUCGUAGAUAUUCGGAAGAACACCAGUGGCGAAGGCGACUCGCUGGACAAGUAUUGACGCUGAGGUGCGAAAGCGUGGGGAGCAAACAGGA
Molecule: ribosomal RNA, 253 nt
Filed under: uncultured prokaryote
Description: partial 16S ribosomal RNA
Rfam family: Bacterial small subunit ribosomal RNA
Source: RNAcentral